UACGGAGGGGGCUAGCGUUGUUCGGAAUUACUGGGCGUAAAGCGCACGUAGGCGGCUUUGUAAGUUAGAGGUGAAAGCCCGGAGCUCAACUCCGGAAUUGCCUUUAAGACUGCAUCGCUAGAAUUGUGGAGAGGUGAGUGGAAUUCCGAGUGUAGAGGUGAAAUUCGUAGAUAUUCGGAAGAACACCAGUGGCGAAGGCGACUCACUGGACACAUAUUGACGCUGAGGUGCGAAAGCGUGGGGAGCAAACAGGAUUAGAAACCCGUGUAGUCC
Molecule: ribosomal RNA, 273 nt
Filed under: uncultured bacterium
Lineage: Bacteria
Description: partial 16S ribosomal RNA
Rfam family: Bacterial small subunit ribosomal RNA
Source: RNAcentral